CACGUAGGGGGCGAGCGUUGUCCGGAUUUAUUGGGCGUAAAGAGCUCGUAGGCGGCUCGGUAAGUCGGGUGUGAAAUUUCAGGGCUCAACCCUGAAACGCCACCCGAUACUGCCGUGGCUAGAGUCCGGUAGGGGAGCGUGGAAUUCCUGGUGUAGCGGUGAAAUGCGCAGAUAUCAGGAGGAACACCAGCGGCGAAGGCGGCGCUCUGGGCCGGAACUGACGCUGAGGAGCGAAAGCGUGGGGAGCGAACAGGAUUAGAUACCCCCGUAGUCC
This 274-nucleotide ribosomal RNA is filed under the name uncultured bacterium. RNAcentral describes it as "partial 16S ribosomal RNA". It matches the Rfam family "Bacterial small subunit ribosomal RNA", at positions 524 to 796 of the family's 1533-position model. The record is from RNAcentral.